RNAcentral lists this ribosomal RNA (1216 nucleotides) under Muribaculaceae bacterium Isolate-077 (Janvier). RNAcentral describes it as "bacterial LSU rRNA". It matches the Rfam family "Bacterial large subunit ribosomal RNA", at positions 1 to 1208 of the family's 2925-position model. Lineage: Bacteria; Pseudomonadati; Bacteroidota; Bacteroidia; Bacteroidales; Muribaculaceae. The record is from RNAcentral.
AUAAAGAAAGGAGAGAAGGGCACAUGAAGGAUGCCUGGGCUCUCGGAGGCGACGAAGGACGUGAUAAGCUGCGAUAAGCUGCGGGUAGGAGCAAAUAUCCCUUGAUCCGCAGAUUUCCGAAUGGGGCAACCCACUGCCCGAACAGGCAGUAUCUUCCGAAUGGAAGAGGCGAACUUGGGGAACUGAAACAUCUCAGUACCCAAAGGAAAAGAAAAUAACCCAAUGAUUGCGCCAGUAGUGGCGAGCGAACGCGCAAGAGCCCAAACCGGCGGUGUUCAGGCACUGACCGGGGUUGUAGGACCGUCAGCAAAUGGACAGUCAGAAGUUAGCCGAAGCCUCUGGAAAGGGGCGCCGCAGCGGGUGACAGCCCCGUAGGCGAAAACAGACGACUGACAGAGACGGCACCUGAGUAAGCCGGGACACGAGAAAUCCUGGCCGAAUCCGCGGGGACCAUCCCGUAAGGCUAAAUACUACCGAGAGACCGAUAGCGAACCAGUACCGUGAGGGAAAGGUGAAAAGAACCUCGAACAGAGGAGUGAAACAGACCCUGAAAUCAUGUGCCUACAAGCGGUCGGAGCUGCUUCGUGCAGUGACGGCGUGCCUUUUGCAUAAUGAACCUACGAGUUACCGUCGUUGGCGAGGCUAAGUCCACUGAUGGACGGAGCCGAAGCGAAAGCGAGUCAGAAUAUGGCGCAAUCUAGUCAGCGGCGGUAGACGCGAAACCAAGUGAUCUACCCUUGGGCAGGUUGAAGGUGGGGUAACACCCACUGGAGGACCGAACCGGUAAGCGUUGAAAAGCUUUCGGAUGACCUGAGGGUAGGAGUGAAAGGCCAAUCAAACUUGGAGAUAGCUCGUACUCCCCGAAAUGCAUUUAGGUGCAGCCUCGGGCGCAGUACCGUGGAGGUAGAGCGACUGAUAGGAUGCGAGGGCUUCACCGCCUAUCAAGUCCUGACAAACUCCGAAUGCCACGGCACGAUCCCCGGGAGUGAGGGCGCGGGUGCUAAGGUCCGCGUCCGAGAGAGGAACAACUCAGACCACCGUCUAAGGCCCCCAAAUCCGGGCUAAGUUGAAGACAAUAACGAGGUGGGAUUGCAAGGACAGCUAGGAUGUUGGCUUGGAAGCAGCCAUUCAUUUAAAGAGUGCGUAACAGCUCACUAGUCGAGUGAUCCCGCAUGGAUAAUAAUCGGGCAUAAGUCCGGUGCCGAAGACGUGGAAU